Molecule: ribosomal RNA, 301 nt
Filed under: uncultured bacterium
Lineage: Bacteria
Description: partial 16S ribosomal RNA
Rfam family: Bacterial small subunit ribosomal RNA
Source: RNAcentral
CAGUCGCCACGGUAAUACGUAGGGUGCAAGCGUUAAUCGGAAUUACUGGGCGUAAAGCGUGCGCAGGCGGUUAUAUAAGUCAGAUGUGAAAUCCCCGGGCUCAACCUGGGAACUGCAUUUGAGACUGUAUGGCUAGAGUGUGUCAGAGGGGGGUAGAAUUCCACGUGUAGCAGUGAAAUGCGUAGAGAUCGGGAGGAACAUCAGUGGCGAAGGCGGCCAUCUGGGACAACACUGACGCUGAGGCACGAAAGCGUGGGGAGCAAACAGGAUUAGAUACCCCCGUAGUCCCUGUCUCUUAUAC